This 247-nucleotide long non-coding RNA is filed under the name Anser brachyrhynchus (Pink-footed goose). RNAcentral's name for it is "lncRNA (ENSABRG00000008784.1)". The record is from RNAcentral. Lineage: Eukaryota; Metazoa; Chordata; Aves; Anseriformes; Anatidae.
CUGAGAGCAAAGCUGCAAUCAUCAACAAACAGGUCUCAACUGGGCCUCUACACUCAAGGAACGGGGGCUAAGAAGUCUGUGAGGUCAUUGACAAUGGAUUCCAGAAUUGGUGUGAGAACUACAGAUCCUGAGGUAUUUGAAGUAGACAUUUCAUUGUCAUUCCUUAUUAUUAUUGGCAGUUUCUGUGAAGUGUUAGAAAUGGAUGAAUCCAAGAAUACUGAAAAUCUGAAGAUCCAUAUUGCAAAAG